This 1036-nucleotide ribosomal RNA is filed under the name uncultured bacterium. RNAcentral's name for it is "bacterial SSU rRNA". It matches the Rfam family "Bacterial small subunit ribosomal RNA", at positions 57 to 1142 of the family's 1533-position model. The record is from RNAcentral.
GCAGUCGAACGAACCUUCGGGUUAGUGGCGGACGGGUGAGUAACGCGUGGGAAUCUGCCCUCAGGAGGGGGAUAACGGCUGGAAACGGCCGCUAAUACCCCAUAUGCCGAGAGGUGAAAUGAAUUUCGCCUGAGGAUGAGCCCGCGUCUGAUUAGCCAGUUGGUGAGGUAAGAGCUCACCAAGGCAUCGAUCAGUAGCUGGUCUGAGAGGAUGAUCAGCCACACUGGGACUGAGACACGGCCCAGACUCCUACGGGAGGCAGCAGUGGGGAAUUUUCCGCAAUGGGCGAAAGCCUGACGGAGCAACGCCGCGUGAGGGAUGAAGGCCUCUGGGCUGUAAACCUCUUUUCUCAAGGAAGAAGAUCUGACGGUACUUGAGGAAUAAGCCACGGCUAAUUCCGUGCCAGCAGCCGCGGUAAUACGGGAGUGGCAAGCGUUAUCCGGAAUUAUUGGGCGUAAAGCGUCCGCAGGCGGCCCUUCAAGUCUGCUGUUAAAACGUGGAGCUUAACUCCAUCAUGGCAGUGGAAACUGUUGGGCUUGAGUGUGGUAGGGGCAGAGGGAAUUCCCGGUGUAGCGGUGAAAUGCGUAGAUAUCGGGAAGAACACCAGUGGCGAAGGCGCUCUGCUGGGCCAUAACUGACGCUCAUGGACGAAAGCCAGGGGAGCGAAAGGGAUUAGAUACCCCUGUAGUCCUGGCCGUAAACGAUGAACACUAGGUGUCGGGGGAAUCGACCCCCUCGGUGUCGUAGCCAACGCGUUAAGUGUUCCGCCUGGGGAGUACGCACGCAAGUGUGAAACUCAAAGGAAUUGACGGGGGCCCGCACAAGCGGUGGAGUAUGUGGUUUAAUUCGAUGCAACGCGAAGAACCUUACCAGGGUUUGACAUCCUGCGAACCUCUUGGAAACGAGAGGGUGCCUUCGGGAACGCAGUGACAGGUGGUGCAUGGCUGUCGUCAGCUCGUGUCGUGAGGUGUUGGGUUAAGUCCCGCAACGAGCGCAACCCACGUCUUUAGUUGCCAGCAUUUAGUUGGGCACUCUA